Non-coding RNA from Triticum aestivum (bread wheat), 125 nucleotides. The record is from Rfam. Lineage: Eukaryota; Viridiplantae; Streptophyta; Magnoliopsida; Poales; Poaceae.
CACAUACUCCCUUCGUCCGAAAAUACUUGUCAUUGAAAUUGAUGUAUCUAGAUGUAUUUUAGUUGUAGAUACAUCCAUUUUCAUUCAUUUUGAUGACAAGUAAUGUCGGAUGGAGAAAGUACCAC